This is a non-coding RNA of Pelodiscus sinensis (Chinese soft-shelled turtle), 958 nucleotides long. The record is from RefSeq and is a predicted model, not a curated record. Lineage: Eukaryota; Metazoa; Chordata; Testudines; Trionychidae.
UUAGCAACACCGGGCGCUCUGAACACUGCAACCCCCUCCCCCUCUUUUGCUGCACAGGAUGCCAGCAUAGGAGUUGUGUUGCACUGACAGGAAAGGCCUCCUAAGGCCUAGUCCCGGCUACCUGAGCUCAGGUCCUUCCCACACAGCACCACUGGGCUGUGCACCUUCCCAGCUAUGACCAGGCCUAGGAGCACAAGGAUGGAUAGUUCCAGAAGUAACUAAAGAAUGGCAGUAACAAGACAAAGAAAAACUGUUUUAAAAGAAACAAGUCCAAACCUGCUUGUGUUCUGCGGGAAGGAGUAGGGAGAGAAGAUAAGAAAUGAAAGGCUUUGAGAAGAAAGGAGAUUGUAAGGGGUCCUGACCCUACAGGGUUUGGUUAUUUGGGAGAUGUAGCACCAACUGGAUUUCAGCAACAGAAGCUUCCCAUUUCUACCAACACUGGCCCCUCAAAUACGGAGGAUAAAUUUGCAAAACAUUUACAUUAAUAUCGCAUACCAUGUAUUAGCUCUGCCAUUACAUCUCUGGCUCUUUCCUCCUCUGCUUCACUCCUUUCCUCCCUUUGCUGAUAUGGACCCUUUGGUAUGACACUAUUCGGGGAGAGAGAAGUUGAGAUUACUUUUGACAAUUGCUUCUGCAACCUUGGAUGCCUUACAAUGCUUUGCUGAAAUAAAACACUGUCCAUACACAGUUCCUUCUCUUCCUCCUUGAAAAUACCACCUGCCACAAUUUAUCAAGUAUUCAACAUCCCCCACCAAGGUCUUUUUUUCCAACAAAACAGAUUUUCCUCCCACAUAUCAAUUCUUUGCCACUUCAUUAAAAUCAAUAUGCUGCCUUUCAGUGGGAUGAAUAAACUCCACACCAGAACCAAACCAGUUUAGGAGCAGCUCUGAGCCCAGACAGCUUCACCCAUAUCCAGCUGCAGAGUAUGCACAGGUGGGCUAUGUCUACACUGGUGGCU